Long non-coding RNA from Quercus lobata, 1899 nucleotides. RefSeq lists it as uncharacterized. The transcript has 4 exons. Lineage: Eukaryota; Viridiplantae; Streptophyta; Magnoliopsida; Fagales; Fagaceae. The record is from RefSeq and is a predicted model, not a curated record.
UGUAGAGGGGCCAUUCUACAAUACCCACAUUUUUUUGUGUGGGUACGGUACCCACUUAUAGAUUUAAUCAUUAAUUUCACUUGUUUUGAUUCAGUCCAGUGAUAUGAUUUUAAUGAAUUACCAAUUACCGGUCAAGAAGGUAACAUAUAAAGUCAAACACUCAAGGAAAAAAAACAGAUGUCUCUGUUUUUUUCUCUCUCGCCGUCUUGUGUUCUCUCUCUCUACUUCUCUGCUGCGUUCUUUCAAUUCUGCUCGUCGAUCUUCGCCGAUCUUCACCUUGUCUUCAUACAAAUCUCAGGUAGUAAAGGGGGAAGGAAAUAUAUCAAGCUAUGCCCACGCACAUCCUAGUACUAAUGGAAGCAAAUGGUCUAGGGAAGAGAGAUUUAGGAGUAAUGUCAAUGGUUUUUUUUACACGAACAAGCGGUAGCAAAGCAAUGGUAUCAAUCAGGGUCGCAGUGACAUUGGAGUGCAUGUGAAGAUUCUCGGAUGAAUCCAAAUGAUUUGCGUUUGAAACAGAUAAACAAAAGAAAGAUGAAGCGAAUUCCAAGGGUUUUUGAAGAGAGAAGGAAGAUGGACCAAAGUCAAAAGUUGUCAAAAACUAUUUAGCCUGCAAGGCAUAACAUGUAGCAGCAAAGGUCUGAUUAAAAGGACAUACUUUUUUGUGGCGAAUGCUAGCUACAGAAAGACCUAGAUCCCCAAAUAGAAAUUUGAAAUCUUCUAUGGGACUCUCACCACAAAGAAAUUUCAAUGAGCUGCACCAAGAACCAUCGCUCAGGGCAACUGAUAAUUCAAGAGCUAGAUGGUUUUUAAGCAAUGAUGGUGCUUCUAGGCCAACAGGACCUUUAACUGUCAAAGGUCCUGAUACUUCAGAGCUAGUUAUGCAGCUUACGCAAAUAGGUGGCAUUGGGCUGAAAAGUUUUCAUCGGUAUAUUUUUCCCCCUGCUGCCCUGUUUUAGCUUAAUUUAAGAGGGUUUGGUUUGUAUUUGUGAGGUUAUCUUGAUUAACGGUUGUGUAUAAUUCCUGUUGGUCGUUUAAUGUUAUGUAUUCAUCAUGCUCUUUUGAAUGGAAUUUUAAAAGGUGGAAGAAUCUCACACUAUCUGAGGUGGAAAUUUUAUUGUCUUCAAUAAUUAUAGCAUGUCUGAGGUGCAAAAUUUGUUUAGCCUUUUUGGAGUAUAAAUUCACCCAAUACAACACCACCAUGCUGUAAACAUAGCAAACAACAUGAAUUCUAUGCAAUUGUGAUAUUGGUUGGUGAAUGUGAUGCUUAAUUAACUAGCUGGAUUGGAGAGAUGAUUAAGAUCAUUGAAAUCACACAAUCAAUUAUCAUUUUGUCAGAUAAUCUUUAUCAAAAUAAUUGUACAUCACUCACAUUUGACUGCUUCAUCAAAUUAUGGUAAAAUUUGUGGUCUUAGAAGAGCCAUUAUGGUACGGUGGGAGUCACAUAUGCCAUUUGAGACAUGGUUCAUUGGUCUAGAUAGAUUAUAAAUAAAUAAAGGAGGAGGAAAGGUAGUUCAAGGAGGAGGAGGAGGAGGAAAGCUAGUGAAUGAUCGUGUGAAACAAAAUAUGCACUCUACAUUUUCUACACUUCUGGAUAGACAAUGAAGCCAAUCAUCUGCCAAAGCUGGAACCUUCAAGGACAAUGUGGACGCCAUCCAUCGACAAGAUAUAUGCGGACUUAGUUGUUAAGCAUAUACAACUUGUGAAAGAGCAAAUUACUUUUAGUUGUUAUAAAGUAUUAGUUGUUGGAAAAAUGUAGCUACGGUGGUAUAGAUUCUAAUGUAAUAUUAUAGAGUUUUUAGCCUAAACAAAGCUAUUGGCGAAACUUAAUUCAUUCAUAUAUGGACCUCAUCUGUGUGUUAUAUGUUAAAACUAUGAACUUUCCAUUGAAACUAUUAAUUU